Molecule: non-coding RNA, 1007 nt
Organism: Anas platyrhynchos (mallard)
Lineage: Eukaryota; Metazoa; Chordata; Aves; Anseriformes; Anatidae
Source: RefSeq, a predicted model, not a curated record
CUAGAGACUAGAAUAGGCAGAUGGAGUUUAGCUAGCAUGAGCUAGCAUGCCAGUGACUGCAGCUUGAUCAUGUUUUCCCAACCUGGAGGAAACAAGAUUGACAUUGUAUGCUGCUCUUUGGCAUUUCUUAGUCACCUGUGCACCACCUCACUAUCAUCUCCCUACAGCAUGCCCUAGAAACUGAGGCAGAAACCUGCAAGUGACAAAGAUCACAGAACUGGAGCCCAGGAGUUCGGGCUUCAGCUAGCACAAGCACUGAAAUGGAGAACACUUCAUCCAACAUACAUUGACACAGGAGGAGUGGAAGCUGUGGCAGAACGGAAGUUGAGAUCUAUGGAAAGGUUAACAUCAGGUUUGAAAUUAAAAGUUACCUUCAACUGUUAAUCAGGUGGCAGUGCCUCGCUGCUAAAUGGUGCCUUGCUGCUAAAUGGUGAGAGAGAGCAGAGAGAGGAAUCCAGGGCUGCUUCCAACAGAGGGACAAGCAGUCAAGAGGACCAAAGAGGAUGGCAAACAGGAGGGAUGGUGGAAGAUGUUGGUAGCAUGAAGAAAAGGACGGUGAUGGCAGGGAUGAGGAAAAAAAAAUAUGGAAGAAAUACACAUAAAAGAAGAAGAGGGAAAAUUCAACAUGAAGAAGUAGAAAAGGUGGAAGCUGCCAUUAUUGCAGCUGCACAGAAAGAGAAACAAAAGUAAGGAAUGAAGUGAAGACAUACAAAAAGGUAAGGAAGUUUUAAAAGCACAUCCUUGUCAUGACUUCCUAAAGAAGCAAGGUGUGACAGGAUGCUAAUGGCUGGUUUUGCACCUACUAUAGAUCUCUGUGUCUCUAUGAGUCAUUAAGAAUACACCUACUGCAUAUGUUAAGAGAAUGGCAAAGCACACUCAAAUUUUACAUGAUUGGGCCAUAUUAAGAAAAACUUAAAAAAAAAAAAGAAAAAGUGGUCCUCAGUCUUGGCCCUAAGUACUAUCACAGCCUUUCAGGCUUCUGGUGUUUUCCAAAGGAAAAGAGUGAU